UUAUGGCUCAGGAUGAACGCUAGCUACAGGCUUAACACAUGCAAGUCGAGGGGCAGCAUGGAUAGCUUGCAAUUCAGAUGGCGACCGGCGCACGGGUGAGUAACGCGUAUCCAACCUUCCUGCCAGUAGGGAACAGCCGGCGAAAGUCGGAUUAAUGCCCUAUGUUCUUCAAUGCGGACAUCUAAGUUGAAGGAAAGAUUCAUCGCUGGCAGAUGGGGAUGCGUCCGAUUAGCUUGCCGGCGGGGUAACGGCCCACCGGGGCGACGAUCGGUAGGGUUCUGAGAGGAAGGUCCCCCACACUGGUACUGAGACACGGACCAGACUCCUACGGGAGGCAGCAGUGAGGAAUAUUGGUCAAUGGGCGUAAGCCUGAACCAGCCAAGUAGCGUGCAGGAUGACGGCCCUACGGGUUGUAAACUGCUUUUAUGCGGGGAUAAAGUGCGGCACGUGUGCCGCUUUGCAGGUACCGCAUGAAUAAGGACCGGCUAAUUCCGUGCCAGCCGCGGC
RNAcentral lists this ribosomal RNA (507 nucleotides) under uncultured bacterium. RNAcentral's name for it is "bacterial SSU rRNA". It matches the Rfam family "Bacterial small subunit ribosomal RNA", at positions 17 to 518 of the family's 1533-position model. The record is from RNAcentral.